AAAACAAAAAGAAAGGAAACAUACACAUAUAGUCUUUCAAUAUAAAUUUCUCUAAUAUGGAAAAAUAAAACAUUACAUUAGACAAAGAUUUUUGAGAAUUUUGGAUGACUAAUAUUAAUUCUUUAUUUUUUUUUUAUAUUUUUAUAAUACUCUCAGAAUUAAAAAUAUAUAUGUUACUUAUAAAUAUUUUCUUCCCAUUCACCGCAAAUACGUCCUAUCAAUUAAGGUGAAAAAUAUAUUUAUUUUUUCUUCUUCCCCUCCUUCCAAACCCUUCCCCAUCCCACUCCAAACGCUCAAAGAGAAACCUUAAGAAAAUGGUUAAGGGUUGAGAAGAUAAUUCAUCUUACACAAGAGAUUAAUCGCCACUAAACCAAUAAAUAAAUGGUUAUAAUAAAAUAACCAAACAAGCAAGUACGUUAAUGAGUAUGACAAAUACAACUUAUAUAGUAAAACAAUGCAAAAACAUUUAACAUAUUAAUG
Molecule: long non-coding RNA, 480 nt
Filed under: Medicago truncatula (barrel medic)
Lineage: Eukaryota; Viridiplantae; Streptophyta; Magnoliopsida; Fabales; Fabaceae
Description: long non-coding RNA (MTRU_LNC007875)
Source: RNAcentral